Molecule: transfer RNA, 77 nt
Filed under: Betaproteobacteria bacterium
Lineage: Bacteria; Pseudomonadati; Pseudomonadota; Betaproteobacteria
Also listed under: 2 other names
Description: tRNA-Arg
Rfam family: tRNA
About the family: Transfer RNA (tRNA) molecules are approximately 80 nucleotides in length.
Source: RNAcentral
GCGCCCGUAGCUCAGCUGGAUAGAGCGUCGGCCUCCGGAGCCGAAGGCCGCAGGUUCGAAUCCUGCCGGGCGCGCCA